AAAUGCGGUACGUAGUGUGCAUUGCAGAAUUCCGUGAACCAUCGAAUCUUUGAACGCAUAUUGCGCUCGAGCCCUCGGGCAAGAGCAUGUCUGCCUCAGCGUCGGUUUACACCCUCACCCCUCCCACUUUUGUUGGGUGUGUUGGCUUCUAUGCCAGCCAUAGGGGUGGAUCUGGCUUCCCCAAUUCGCUGUAGUGGAUUGGGUUGGCUGAAGUAUAGAGGCUUAAGCAAGGACCCGAUAUGGGCUUCAACUGGAUAGGUAGCACCGGCUUUCGCCGACUACACGAAGUUGUUGCUUGUGGAUCUUGCUAGAGGCCAAGCAGGAACGUGCCUUUGGCAUGUCUAAACUUUCGACCUGAGCUCAGGCAAGGCUACCCGCUGAACUUAAGC
Molecule: unclassified non-coding RNA, 389 nt
Filed under: plant metagenome
Description: partial contains 5.8S ribosomal RNA, internal transcribed spacer 2, and large subunit ribosomal RNA
Rfam family: 5.8S ribosomal RNA (bases 1-104)
Source: RNAcentral